This is a long non-coding RNA of Acinonyx jubatus (cheetah), 2947 nucleotides long. RefSeq lists it as uncharacterized. The record is from RefSeq and is a predicted model, not a curated record. NCBI's taxonomy places the organism in Eukaryota, Metazoa, Chordata, Mammalia, Carnivora, Felidae. The transcript has 3 exons.
CGGGCAGGGGGUGGGGUGUAAGGACCCCCACUCUACCGACCGCAGCUGGGCGGGGGUGGGGCUGGAGUCUGGAGCAGGGAGAGGACACGCUCUGGGUGCUGUGUUGGCCCGAGUCUUGGAGUCAGGGGUUUGUUACCUGGGGGAGCCGGAGGGGAGGGGGUGCUGUUCAGUGCUCCUGUGAAAGUUCAGCCACCUUAGCAGGUAAUUAAGGCCCGGCUGUACUCAGCCUGGGUGAGAUCCAUAAAGCGAUGAUGUGACAACCUUAAUUAGUGAGGCCUUUUCUUCAUAAAUACAUAUGGCACUUAAUGAGCAUCAGAAUGGAGCCUGGAUUUGCAGCCGCUGCUGGCCGUGAAUCUCGCGCACAGGAGGAAGCAAGGCGACUCUCCUGGGAAGCGCGUCUCCCUUCAGCAGCCCCGCCUGUGCCCGGGAUCCUGGGCCGGACGGCUCACUGCAGACUCCUGGCCUCGGGGUCCUGAGCUCCCGAGACCCGGCGCUCUCAUCUGCCAGAAAGUGAGGCAACAAGCGAGUGGAUCGGCAGGAGCCAGCUUGGCCCCUCUGGGUGCUGCCCGUGGUCAUUUCCUGCCGUCUCGCAGCAUGGGGACCUGGGGAGCAGGGUCGGUGUCACUCACGGUGGUGGGCAGUGAACGCCGGUCUGCUGAUGUCACUGGUGUUGGGGGUGAGGAGGCACAGUCCAGGCGUGAAGGCCUUUCUGGUGGCUGGCAUCUCGGCCCGGACCCCCUUCCGGCCAGGCCCAGCACUGCCCUGCCUGAAACCCCAGCCUCUCUGUGCGGGAGGCGCCCCAUACCUACGAGGGGCCGCCCGCCUGUCUUGCCUCCAGGAUCCCGGGCGAGCCUGGUAGUCUGUCCUCACGACAUCAGCUUCGACUAAACCGUGAACUUCCGUGCCAUCAGAGGUGCAGCCUGAUGGGGACCAUGUCCGGGAGCUGCCUCAUUCAUCAGCGGGUACAGCAAGGUGGCCCAUCCGUCCCGUGGAAAGACAGACAAGGCGCUCACAUGAGCUACAGCACGGAAGAGUCUUGAAAACGUGGUGCCGACAGGAGGAAAAUCAGCUUCUGGCGACUGUGAGAUGAACUCACGGGCAGGAUGUUCGCCCCCUACCUCCCCAGGAUGGACGGGACUGGGAGUCUCUGGAAUCAUCCACGCUGGAGUCGCCUCAGCCGGUGUCUGUCCGCCUUCGUCUCUGCUGGGCCUGCGGUGCCUGGAGAUGGCCUGACUUGUUAUCCUCAGCCCCAGCAUGGUCGCCCCAGCCCGAGAACUGCUGAGGGAGAGGACGGAUGUGAUCUUUCAGGCUCCCCAGUAGCUCUCCACACACACUUGGACAGGAAGGCCCUCAUUCCAUCACGGCUCUGGUUCCCGAGGCACAGGCAAGCUGUCGGUGCUGAGCCUCUGUUCAAAGGGUGGGUCUUGGUGGAGGGGGAGGGAGGAUUUCCCAGCUGGCAUCUGAUGGUGGCGCUGUUGGCUCACACCAGGCAGCGGGCCAGCCAGCUCUGCAGGCUCCUGGGCCGGGGCCAGUGAGGGAGGGGGGGAGGCUAGGGCAGCCGGUUGGGCAGUAAGUCCUCUCUUUUCCAGACAGCCCUGCAGGUUUCCUGGCCCGAGUCCACCACUGAGUUUUGUUGAGGUCUCUGGACUUCCUCAGUGGCAGAGAGGACGGUGGCUGGACAGUGGACAGGGGAGGGCCUGGAGACCAGGACAGGGGCAGGGAAGGAGCAGCUGGGCGGCCCUGGCUAGGGAGCCAGCGUCGCCGGCCUUGACCACCCCCCAGCCUCCUGGCUUUUCUGCAGCCUACGGUCUUCCUUGUGCUGGCUUCCUGGCACCCCGGGGAUAGCUUAAGACCUCUCCGUAGCUGGAAAGGGGGUCUGCAGUCAGCAGCUGAUGGGUGGGGAGGGCAGCGGAUCAGGUCAGCAGCUAUGGUUUGAUGGUUGGCCUAGCCCAGCUCUGGGUGGCCUGACAUUCACUCCCCAUUCCUGAGACGGUACCUGUGGUUGUCAGAAAAGCUCUGUUGGGGUAUUCUGCCUCUUGCCAGGAUCUUUCUGGGGCCCUAGAGGACCCCUCAGUCUUCCCUAGAAGCAAGACUGGGUACUCUGCUGGCUGCAUGCCUGGCAUCUUCCAGAUUUCUGGUGCAUGCUGGGAACUUUUGUAAGUCAGUGGGAAUUCAACAAAUAUGAAUGGAAGCCCACCCAUGACCCGGUACCGUGUUGGCACUCAGCUCUUUGUGGAAAGGCUGGGUGAUUAACUCCUCACUAGGAGCUGGGAUAUGGGGCUUGGGCCUGAUCACUGAUGCAGACUAGUAACCUUGGACCAGUGGGUUUUCUUUCUAGGCUUUGGUCUGGUCAUCUGGGAAGUGGAAGAGUUGAACACGAUUCAUUUCUUUUCUGCCUUGGGUUUCUGUUCCCCUUGUUAAGUUUCCUAAUUUUACCCGUUACCUUGGUCUCCUGCCUAACAUUUCCCCUAACUUCUGGUCAUCUUGGGCUAAGAGCCCACCCCUGUCUUGGGACCUUGUCUUUUCCCCUGCUUCAUUAACACCCUUACCACCACCGUCAUCAUCACGAUCAGCCAGGUUCUGCCCCAGGCCACCAAGUUUGCAUCACCAUCACAUCAUCAUCAUCGCCAUUAUCAUCACCACCACCGCCAUCAUCACGGUCAUCCCCAACAUCAACAUCAUGAUCACCAUGAUCACCAUGAUCACCAUCAUCACCACCAUAUCACCAUCAUCAUCACUAUUGGGCAGGUUCUUCCCCAGGCUACCACGUUUGCAUCCCCAUCAUCACCAUCACCAUCAUCACCAUCAUCACCAUCAUCCCCAUCAUCACCAUCAUCACCAUCAUGAUCAUCACCCUCUUCAACAUCAUCAUCAUCAUCAGCAGCAGCAGCAUCAUCACCAUCAUCACCAUCAUGAUCAUCACCCUCUUCAGCAUCAUCAUCAUCAU